RNAcentral lists this transfer RNA (85 nucleotides) under Candidatus Vallotiella hemipterorum. RNAcentral's name for it is "Candidatus Vallotia tarda tRNA". It matches the Rfam family "tRNA". Rfam says of the family: Transfer RNA (tRNA) molecules are approximately 80 nucleotides in length. Their secondary structure includes four short double-helical elements and three loops (D, anti-codon, and T loops). Lineage: Bacteria; Pseudomonadati; Pseudomonadota; Betaproteobacteria; Burkholderiales; Burkholderiaceae. The record is from Rfam by way of RNAcentral.
GGAAGCGUGGCCGAGCGGUUUAAGGCGCUGGUCUUGAAAACCAGAGAUAGGCAACUGUCCGUGAGUUCGAAUCUCACCGCUUCCA